RNAcentral lists this ribosomal RNA (625 nucleotides) under uncultured bacterium. RNAcentral's name for it is "bacterial SSU rRNA". It matches the Rfam family "Bacterial small subunit ribosomal RNA", at positions 84 to 688 of the family's 1533-position model. The record is from RNAcentral.
GGGCGAGUAAAGUGGCGCACGGGUGAGUAACGCGUGGAUAAUCUACCCUUAAGAUGGGGAUAACGGCUGGAAACGGUCGCUAAUACCGAAUACGCUCCCGAUUUUAUCAUUGGGGGGAAAGAUGGCCUCUGCUUGCAAGCUAUCGCUUAAGGAUGAGUCCGCGUCCCAUUANCUAGUUGGCGGGGUAACGGCCCACCAAGGCAACGAUGGGUAGCCGGUCUGAGAGGAUGACCGGCCACACUGGAACUGGAACACGGUCCAGACUCCUACGGGAGGCAGCAGUGGGGAAUAUUGCGCAAUGGGCGAAAGCCUGACGCAGCGACGCCGCGUGAGGGAUGAAGGUUCUCGGAUCGUAAACCUCUGUCAGGGGGGAAGAAACCCCCUCGUGUGAAUAAUGCGAGGGCUUGACGGUACCCCCAAAGGAAGCACCGGCUAACUCCGUGCCAGCAGCCGCGGUAAUACGGAGGGUGCAAGCGUUAAUCGGAAUCACUGGGCGUAAAGCGCACGUAGGCGGCUUGGUAAGUCAGGGGUGAAAUCCCACAGCCCAACUGUGGAACUGCCUUUGAUACUGCCAGGCUUGAGUACCGGAGAGGGUGGCGGAAUUCCNNGUGUAGGAGUUGAAAUC